GAGGGGGCGAAUUAGAAAUUGUUUGUAUAUGUGUGUCCGCGUCCUCUGAGAAAUUGAAAUCGACAAAAAAAAAUCUAGCUAGGGUUUUUUUUUUGAAUCUCUCUCAAUGUCCAUGGAUCUCAGUUCAAGCACGGAGCCCGAUGUGAUGCAAACCAUGGAUGCAUCUUUCACGGAUCUGUCUUCGCUUUGUGGCCAAAAACGCAAGGCCGAAACGAUGGCUCAGACUACGAGUCGCCUGAGGAGCCUCCCGCGGAUGAAGAGGAAUUUGAGAUUCGUCGAUUCGUACGCAAUUAUCACGAGAGCCAGGGUUUUAAGGUGGAUGAAGAUAUGAUUCCUAAAUCUCAUCCUCGUCGUUAUGGAGGAUUACGCGGUGUCGAUCUCGAUGACCUCUACGUGGAGCCCCUCACGGGGCGUGACUACAUGGAGAUGAUGGCCAAUCUCGCUAUUGCCAAAUACAACCAAGUAGAGGUUACUACUAUAAAAAGACUGUUACGCGUGAAGUGAUCUUAGUGCAGUGGCAGGAGGUAAGUCCAUUUGUAGAAGGCACAAUCACACCAGGGAUCGAGUCCCGCUUCC
This is a non-coding RNA of Camelina sativa (false flax), 576 nucleotides long. The record is from RefSeq and is a predicted model, not a curated record. Lineage: Eukaryota; Viridiplantae; Streptophyta; Magnoliopsida; Brassicales; Brassicaceae.